RNAcentral lists this long non-coding RNA (244 nucleotides) under Solanum lycopersicum (tomato). RNAcentral describes it as "partial TCONS_00172246". The record is from RNAcentral. Lineage: Eukaryota; Viridiplantae; Streptophyta; Magnoliopsida; Solanales; Solanaceae.
UACUUUGGAGAAAGCGAAGCAUAGCUGCCGUUAUGAAAAUACUGGACAGGUUGUAUAAAGAAUCCUUCUUAAAUAUAUCCAACACAGGAAUCCCACUCCAUGCAAAUAUGACCAUGGCCUGCAAAAACAGGAGAAAAAAGGUCCAAAGACGGUCAUAGCUUCGGAAGAUAUGCCAAAAUGACCGUGUCUCAACAAAGUAUGAUUUUCCCAUUUUUCCAGGUUUUUUAUUAGCAGCUCCUUUUCC